RNAcentral lists this ribosomal RNA (547 nucleotides) under uncultured bacterium. Its description in RNAcentral is "partial 16S ribosomal RNA". It matches the Rfam family "Bacterial small subunit ribosomal RNA", at positions 355 to 895 of the family's 1533-position model. The record is from RNAcentral.
UGGGGAAUUUUGGACAAUGGGCGAAAGCCUGAUCCAGCAAUGCCGCGUGUGUGAAGAAGGCCUUCGGGUUGUAAAGCACUUUUGUCCGGAAAGAAAUCCUUGGCUCUAAUACAGUCGGGGGAUGACGGUACCGGAAGAAUAAGCACCGGCUAACUACGUGCCAGCAGCCGCGGUAAUACGUAGGGUGCAAGCGUUAAUCGGAAUUACUGGGCGUAAAGCGUGCGCAGGCGGUUUGCUAAGACCGAUGUGAAAUCCCCGGGCUCAACCUGGGAACUGCAUUGGUGACUGGCAGGCUAGAGUACGGCAGAGGGGGGUAGAAUUCCACGUGUAGCAGUGAAAUGCGUAGAGAUGUGGAGGAAUACCGAUGGCGAAGGCAGCCCCCUGGGCCAAUACUGACGCUCAUGCACGAAAGCGUGGGGAGCAAACAGGAUUAGAUACCCUGGUAGUCCACGCCCUAAACGAUGUCAACUAGUUGUUGGGGAUUCAUUUCCUUAGUAACGUAGCUAACGCGUGAAGUUGACCGCCUGGGGAGUACGGUCGCAAGAUU